GGAUCACCUCCUUACCUGAAGAUACCUUCCGGCGCAGUGUCCACACAGAUUGUCUGAUAAAAAAGUAACGAGCAGAAAAACCUCUACAGGCUUGUAGCUCAGGUGGUUAGAGCGCACCCCUGAUAAGGGUGAGGUCGGUGGUUCAAGUCCACUCAGGCCUACCAAAUUUCUUCUCAUGCUGCGUUAUGCACUCGGUCGUUUACUGUAGUAAACUUCCCUCCCGCAUGCCUUGCCUGAAAAGAAAUUGCAUUUUCUCUUUAUAAAGAAAAUGCGACUCCUCAUGAGUGGUAGAAAAAGGUUUCUGUCAGACCGUAUGGGGCUAUAGCUCAGCUGGGAGAGCGCCUGCCUUGCACGCAGGAGGUCAGCGGUUCGAUCCCGCUUAGCUCCACCAUAUGGUUUUUCUGAAUUCAAUAUUUCAGAGUGUACUGGUUAACAGUAUGCUGCGAAGUAUUAUGCUCUUUAACAAUCCGGAACAAGCUGAAAAUUGAAACGACGUGUCGUGUUCAUUCUCCGUAAUAAGAAUGAAGUUAACGACAUGUUCGAGUCUCUCAAUGCCUGCAACUGACAGACGUCUUUCGGGACGCUUGUGGGUUGUGAGGUUAAGCGACUAAGCGUACACGGUGGAUGCCCAGGCAGUCAGAGGCGAUGAAGGGCGUGCUAAUCUGCGAUAAGCGUCGGUAAGGUGAUAUGAACCGCAACAACCGACGAUACCCGAAUGGGGAAACCCAGUGCAAUCC
Molecule: unclassified non-coding RNA, 737 nt
Filed under: Erwinia pyrifoliae
Lineage: Bacteria; Pseudomonadati; Pseudomonadota; Gammaproteobacteria; Enterobacterales; Erwiniaceae
Description: 16S-23S ribosomal RNA intergenic spacer
Rfam family: Bacterial large subunit ribosomal RNA (bases 598-737)
Source: RNAcentral